GCUGUAGCUCAGUGGUAAAGCAUCUGCUUUGCAUUCAAAAGGUCCCAGGUUCAAUCCCUGGCAUAUCCA
Molecule: non-coding RNA, 69 nt
Organism: Podarcis lilfordi (Lilford's wall lizard)
Lineage: Eukaryota; Metazoa; Chordata; Lepidosauria; Squamata; Lacertidae
Source: the annotation of a GenBank genome assembly